RNAcentral lists this ribosomal RNA (460 nucleotides) under Shigella sonnei. Its description in RNAcentral is "partial 23S ribosomal RNA". It matches the Rfam family "Bacterial large subunit ribosomal RNA", at positions 458 to 920 of the family's 2925-position model. Lineage: Bacteria; Pseudomonadati; Pseudomonadota; Gammaproteobacteria; Enterobacterales; Enterobacteriaceae. The record is from RNAcentral.
CUCCAAGGCUAAAUACUCCUGACUGACCGAUAGUGAACCAGUACCGUGAGGGAAAGGCGAAAAGAACCCCGGCGAGGGGAGUGAAAAAGAACCUGAAACCGUGUACGUACAAGCAGUGGGAGCACGCUUAGGCGUGUGACUGCGUACCUUUUGUAUAAUGGGUCAGCGACUUAUAUUCUGUAGCAAGGUUAACCGAAUAGGGGAGCCGAAGGGAAACCGAGUCUUAACUGGGCGUUAAGUUGCAGGGUAUAGACCCGAAACCCGGUGAUCUAGCCAUGGGCAGGUUGAAGGUUGGGUAACACUAACUGGAGGACCGAACCGACUAAUGUUGAAAAAUUAGCGGAUGACUUGUGGCUGGGGGUGAAAGGCCAAUCAAACCGGGAGAUAGCUGGUUCUCCCCGAAAGCUAUUUAGGUAGCGCCUCGUGAAUUCAUCUCCGGGGGUAGAGCACUGUUUCGGCA